RNAcentral lists this ribosomal RNA (435 nucleotides) under uncultured bacterium. Its description in RNAcentral is "bacterial SSU rRNA". It matches the Rfam family "Bacterial small subunit ribosomal RNA", at positions 958 to 1392 of the family's 1533-position model. The record is from RNAcentral.
AACGCGAAGAACCUUACCAGGUCUUGACAUCCCGCCGACCGCCUAGGAGACUAGGCCUUCCCUUCGGGGACGGCGGUGACAGGUGGUGCAUGGUUGUCGUCAGCUCGUGUCGUGAGAUGUUGGGUUAAGUCCCGCAACGAGCGCAACCCUUGAUCUUAGUUGCCAGCAUUCAGUUGGGCACUCUAAGGUGACUGCCGGUGACAAACCGGAGGAAGGUGGGGAUGACGUCAAAUCAUCAUGCCCCUUAUGACCUGGGCUACACACGUGCUACAAUGCAUGGUACAAAGGGCUGCGAACCCGCGAGGGGGAGCCAAUCCCAUAAAACCAUUCUCAGUUCGGAUUGUAGGCUGCAACUCGCCUACAUGAAGCUGGAAUCGCUAGUAAUCGUGGAUCAGCAUGCCACGGUGAAUACGUUCCCGGGUCUUGUACACACCG